CAGUAGCCACGGGAAUACGGAGGGAGCUAGCGUUAUUCGGAAUUACUGGGCGUAAAGCGCACGUAGGCGGCUUUGUAAGUAAGAGGUGAAAGCCCAGAGCUCAACUCUGGAAUUGCCUUUUAGACUGCAUCGCUUGAAUCAUGGAGAGGUCAGUGGAAUUCCGAGUGUAGAGGUGAAAUUCGUAGAUAUUCGGAAGAACACCAGUGGCGAAGGCGGCUGACUGGACAUGUAUUGACGCUGAGGUGCGAAAGCGUGGGGAGCAAACAGGAUUAGAUACCCCGGUAGUCCCUGUCUCUUAUAA
Molecule: ribosomal RNA, 301 nt
Filed under: uncultured bacterium
Lineage: Bacteria
Description: partial 16S ribosomal RNA
Rfam family: Bacterial small subunit ribosomal RNA
Source: RNAcentral